AAUAAGUGCAGUUUUUGCACUGUUCAUAUCCAACGUUUGACCGUCCGCGUCCGUCUUAUUUAAAAAAAAAUUAUUUGUAAAACUUACUUUAUAUGUGCCUUUUUUUUUAAUUUUUUUAUAAUUUUUUUAAAUAAGAUGGAUGGUCAAAUGUUGAACACGAAUAUCCAUGACUACAUUUAUU
This 181-nucleotide microRNA precursor is filed under the name Oryza punctata. RNAcentral describes it as "MIR812 microRNA precursor family". It matches the Rfam family "MIR812 microRNA precursor family". Lineage: Eukaryota; Viridiplantae; Streptophyta; Magnoliopsida; Poales; Poaceae. The record is from Rfam by way of RNAcentral.